AGCUGUUGUCACUUUCCUUACGGUCUAUUUCAUAAGAGACAGCGUGGCAUGAACAGCAGGAGAAGAGGUACUGCUCAGGAACACUUGGGUCGGGGCUCCAGCCACAGUCCCUUCCCUGCGAGGAAAUGUGCUCUUAGUGGUGCGGUGGGUCGCUGAGAAUUUACAAGGAGGCGGUGUCGCUGGGACCCCCACCACACUCUCCCACCCUGACCAGCAUUCAUUUUUACUGCACCAAUUUUUCUUAUAUUUUAAAAUCUAAGUUUUGAGUUGAAAGUCCAUUUUGAGCCCUUGAGUGUUUUACUGUGUAGUUGGUUUUUUUAAAAAAUAAUUGUUUGAGCAUGAGAUUACUACCAUGAGAAUUAUUCCCAGAACUGGGCUAUGUGACAGUUAGGAUGCUAAUGUGGGCACACGCCAGCCAGGCCAAGUGACUGCUGGGAGGGCCUCUGGGGGCCCUUGGAUCCUGAUACUUUUGCAGAGUGCCCCAAAAGGCCCAUGGUCGUGGGGAUCUCAAGCUGAGCACAUCGCUGGUGUUUUUGAGUCCGUCUGGUUGUGGUCAGUAGCCCAAGUACGGUUUGUGUUUAAUGAGAACUGCCCUGUGGGGUCAGAGCGAGAUGCAGAAGGUAUGGAUGGGUUCUUUUGAAAGUGGACCGGGUGUCAAGGAAGAGCCCUCUUGAGGUGCCAGCAGCUCCAGCGUGGUUCAUAAAACAUGAUGAGGAAGUACAAGGUUUUGUAGGUUACUAGAAACUUCUUUUCAGAGGAAUAGCAUUACAGAAGCUUACUUCUUUCUAGAUGAUUGGCUAGGAAGCUACAAGGUCACCCUGACAUGAAGAAAGCUUAAGUUUUAAGGUCAGAGACAGUGUUUGGGGAAAAUCAGGACAGUGUAAUGAGGAAUCGUCGUGAAAGUGGAUAUUCUUGCCCGGUUCCUGAUCUUAGGGGGUAAGACUUGAGUCUUUCACCAUUAAGUAUGUUAGUUUUAGCUUUUUUGCAGAUGCCCCUUAUCAGGUUGAGGAAGUUCUCUUAUAUUUCUAGCUUGUUAAGAGUUUUUUUUUUUAAUAUGGGUGGAGGUUGAAUUUUGUCACAUUUUUUUUCUGCAUCUCUUUAUGAGAUAAUUUUUUUUCUUUUGGGCUAUUAAUAGGGUGGAUUGCAUUGGUUUUUGAAUAUUAAAGGCAGACUUGCCCUCCUGAAAUAAACAGCACUUGGUUAUGCUGCAUUGUCCUUUCUUUUUUGCUGGAUUUGAUUUGCUGAUUUUUUUUUAAAGGAAUUUUACAUCUACAUUCAUGAGGGAUAUUGUCUGUAGUUUUCUUUCAUUGUAUUUUCUUUGUCUACUUUCGUUAUCAGGAUAAUGUUGGCCACCAAAAAUGAGUUGGAUAAUCUUUCUUUCUCUUCUAUUUUCUGGCAGAAAUUGUGUGGAACCGUUGUAUUUGUCUCUUUAAAGGUUUGGUAGAAUGGGAUAGUGGAACCAUCUGGGGUUGUUAAUCACAAAUUCAAUUUCUCUAAUAGUUACAGGACUAUUCAUGUUAUCUGUAUCUAUGUAUCUAUGUCUGUAUGGUAGUCAUGAGACCACUCAGGUUGUCCAUAUCUAUAUCAGGUUUCAUCUCAGGUGAUUUUGAGAAUUUGUUGGUCCUAAGUUCUCAUAUUUAUGAACAUAGAGUUGCCUAUACUAUUUCUUAUUGUCUUUUUUAAUGGUUACUAGAUCUAGAGUGAUAGCCUUUCAUUCCUGAAACAAGUCAUUUGUGACCUCUCUCUUUUUUUCUUUUUCAGUCUUACCAGGGAGUUGUCAAUUUCAUUAUCUUCAGUCAACUAGUUUCUGGUUUCAUCAAUUUUUCCUAUUGCUUUUGUUUUCAAUUUCACUGAUUCCCCCUUGCUUUUUAUUUAUUCUGCUUUUCUUUUCUCUAGAAUGUUAAAGUGGAAGCUCAUAUUACUAGUUUGAGACUGUUCUUCUAUUCUAAUAUAAGCA
This is a long non-coding RNA of Ailuropoda melanoleuca (giant panda), 1957 nucleotides long. RefSeq lists it as uncharacterized. Lineage: Eukaryota; Metazoa; Chordata; Mammalia; Carnivora; Ursidae. The record is from RefSeq and is a predicted model, not a curated record. The transcript has 3 exons.